AUUCGCGGCCUAUCAGCUUGUUGGUGAGGUCACGGCUCACCAAGGCGACGACGGGUAGCCGGCCUGAGAGGGUGACCGGCCACACUGGGACUGAGAUACGGCCCAGACUCCUACGGGAGGCAGCAGUGGGGAAUAUUGCACAAUGGGCGCAAGCCUGAUGCAGCGACGCCGCGUGAGGGAUGACGGCCUUCGGGUUGUAAACCUCUUUCAGUAGGGACGAAGCGCAAGUGACGGUACCUAUAGAAGAAGGACCGGCCAACUACGUGCCAGCAGCCGCGGUAAUACGUAGGGUCCGAGCGUUGUCCGGAAUUACUGGGCGUAAAGAGCUCGUAGGUGGUUUGUCGCGUUGUUCGUGAAAACUCACAGCUUAACUGUGGGCGUGCGGGCGAUACGGGCAGACUUGAGUACUGCAGGGGAGACUGGAAUUCCUGGUGUAGCGGUGGAAUGCGCAGAUAUCAGGAGGAACACCGGUGGCGAAGGCGGGUCUCUGGGCAGUAACUGACGCUGAGGAGCGAAAGCGUGGGGAGCGAACAGGAUUAGAUACCCUGGUAGUCCACGCCGUAAACGGUGGGUACUAGGUGUGGGUUUCCUUCCUUGGGAUCCGUGCCGUAGCUAACGCAUUAAGUACCCCGCCUGGGGAGUACGGAAU
This 649-nucleotide ribosomal RNA is filed under the name uncultured Actinomycetes bacterium. RNAcentral's name for it is "bacterial SSU rRNA". It matches the Rfam family "Bacterial small subunit ribosomal RNA", at positions 229 to 888 of the family's 1533-position model. The record is from RNAcentral. Lineage: Bacteria; Bacillati; Actinomycetota; Actinomycetes.